This 417-nucleotide ribosomal RNA is filed under the name uncultured bacterium. RNAcentral's name for it is "bacterial SSU rRNA". It matches the Rfam family "Bacterial small subunit ribosomal RNA", at positions 94 to 518 of the family's 1533-position model. The record is from RNAcentral.
AGUGGCGGACGGGUGAGUAACGCGUGGGUAACCUGCCUCAUACAGGGGGGAUAACAGUUAGAAAUGACUGCUAACACCGCAUAAUAUAGCGAAACCGCAUGAUUUUGCUAUCAAAUAUUUAUAGGUAUGAGAUGGGCCCGCGUCUGAUUAGCUAGUUGGUGGGGUAAAAGCCUACCAAGGCGACGAUCAGUAGCCGGCUCGAGAGAGUGACCGGCCACAUUGGGACUGAGACACCGGCCCAAACUCCUACGGGAGGCAGCAGGUGGGGAAUAUUGGACAAGUCGGGGGAAACCCUGAUCCAGCGAACCGCCGCGUGAGUGAAGAAGUUAUUUCGGUAUAGUAAAGCUCUAUCAGCGAGGGAAGAUAAUGACAGUACCUGACUAAGAACGCCCCGGCUAACUACGUGCCAGCCGCUGC